This 606-nucleotide ribosomal RNA is filed under the name Lernanthropinus sphyraenae. Its description in RNAcentral is "partial large subunit ribosomal RNA". Lineage: Eukaryota; Metazoa; Arthropoda; Copepoda; Siphonostomatoida; Lernanthropidae. The record is from RNAcentral.
UCGCAUGCUCGAUAGGAGGUCGCGCUGUGCACAUGUACACAUGGAUUCAACUGCCGCGCCACCCUAUUCGGGCCGAGGUAACGUAAUCACUUGUUCUGUCUUUUAGGAGCUGACUUGAUGGAUCGACAAAGGUUCGGCUGACUCGUACUUUCUUUCGUGAAAUUGACCUGACCUCGCCGAGGCGAACCUAGCAUAACAACACAAGAAGACCCUAUGGAGCUUUACUUUAUUAAUGCAAGACAUACCUAGUUUACCCACCCGUCCUAAACUGCAUUACCUGCAUUGAAAAUUGCCGUCGGUCCUCCCUCGGAGCGAACCCGGGCCUCCGAGCAACCCCUGCUAGGACUGCACCCACCUACCUCCACUACCCUCCUCAAUUGAUCCAAUAACUUGUCUAACGGAACAAAUUACCCAACGGAUAACAUCCGGCUCCUAUUAUAGAGUCCAUAUCAUACCCAAGGUUUACGACCUCGAUCCCCUUUUAGGACAUCCCGAUGGAGGGGCCGCACUACCUCGUUCGUUUGUUCAGACAUCCUAGUCCUACCUGAUCUGAUUCGGACCGGUUGUUCAACGAUUAAAGUCCUACGUGAUCUGAUUCAGACCGGA